Non-coding RNA from Danio rerio (zebrafish), 74 nucleotides. The record is from Rfam. NCBI's taxonomy places the organism in Eukaryota, Metazoa, Chordata, Actinopteri, Cypriniformes, Danionidae.
GUCUCUGUGGCGCAAUCGGUUAGCGCGUUCAGCUGUUAACUGAAAGGUUGGUGGUUGAAGCCCACCCAGGGGCG